RNAcentral lists this ribosomal RNA (495 nucleotides) under uncultured bacterium. Its description in RNAcentral is "partial 16S ribosomal RNA". It matches the Rfam family "Bacterial small subunit ribosomal RNA", at positions 28 to 507 of the family's 1533-position model. The record is from RNAcentral.
GACGAACGCUGGCGGCGUGCCUAAUACAUGCAAGUAGAACGCUGAAGGAGGAGCUUGCUUCUCUGGAUGAGUUGCGAACGGGUGAGUAACGCGUAGGUAACCUGCCUGGUAGCGGGGGAUAACUAUUGGAAACGAUAGCUAAUACCGCAUAAGAGUAGAUGUCGCAUGACAUUUGCUUAAAAGGUGCAAUUGCAUCACUACUAGAUGGACCUGCGUUGUAUUAGCUAGUUGGUGAGGUAACGGCUCACCAAGGGAACGAUACAUAGCCGACCUGAGAGGGUGGUCGGCCACACUGGGACGGAGACACGGCCCAGACUCCUACGGGAGGCAGCAGUAGGGAAUCUUCGGCAAUGGACGGAAGUCUGACCGAGCAACGCCGCGUGAGUGAAGAAGGUUUUCGGAUCGUAAAGAUCUGUUGUAAGAGAAGGACGAGUGUGAGAGUGGAAAGUUAACACUGUGACGGUAUCUUACCAGAAAGGGACGGCUAACUACGUG